This 73-nucleotide transfer RNA is filed under the name Aeromonas phage Ah1. RNAcentral describes it as "tRNA-Gly". It matches the Rfam family "tRNA". Rfam says of the family: Transfer RNA (tRNA) molecules are approximately 80 nucleotides in length. The record is from RNAcentral. Lineage: Duplodnaviria; Heunggongvirae; Uroviricota; Caudoviricetes; Pantevenvirales; Straboviridae.
GCGAGUGUGCGUAAGGUACGCGCUCGGCCUUCCAAGCCGUAGAUAGGGAGUUCGAUUCUCCUCACUCGCUCCA